Molecule: ribosomal RNA, 460 nt
Filed under: uncultured bacterium
Lineage: Bacteria
Description: partial 16S ribosomal RNA
Rfam family: Bacterial small subunit ribosomal RNA
Source: RNAcentral
CCUACGGGCGGCAGCAGUGAGGAAUAUUGGUCAAUGGGCGGGAGCCUGAACCAGCCAAGCCGCGUGAGGGAAGAAGGUACAGCGUAUCGUAAACCUCUUUUGUCAGGGAACAAAGGCGGGGACUAGUCCCCGGAUGAGGGUACCUGAAGAAAAAGCAUCGGCUAACUACGUGCCAGCAGCCGCGGUAAUACGUAGGGGGCAUGCGUUAUCCGGAUUUACUGGGUGUAAAGGGAGCGUAGACGGCUGUGCAAGUCUGAAGUGAAAGCCCGUGGCUCAACCGCGGAACUGCUUUGGAAACUGUAUAGCUGGAGUACUGGAGAGGCAGGCGGAAUUCCUAGUGUAGCGGUGAAAUGCGUAGAUAUUAGGAGGAACACCAGUGGCGAAGGCGGCCUGCUGGACAGAAACUGACGUUGAGGCUCGAAAGCGUGGGGAGCAAACAGGAUUAGAUACCCCUGUAGUC